Molecule: ribosomal RNA, 498 nt
Filed under: uncultured bacterium
Lineage: Bacteria
Description: partial 16S ribosomal RNA
Rfam family: Bacterial small subunit ribosomal RNA
Source: RNAcentral
AUUGAACGCUGGCGGCAUGCCUUACACAUGCAAGUCGAACGGUAACAGGUCUUCGGAUGCUGACGAGUGGCGAACGGGUGAGUAAUACAUCGGAACGUGCCCGAUCGUGGGGGAUAACGAAGCGAAAGCUUUGCUAAUACCGCAUAAGAUCUACGGAUGAAAGCAGGGGACCGCAAGGCCUUGCGCGAACGGAGCGGCCGAUGGCAGAUUAGGUAGUUGGUGGGAUAAAAGCUUACCAAGCCGACGAUCUGUAGCUGGUCUGAGAGGACGACCAGCCACACUGGGACUGAGAGACGGCCCAGACUCCUACGCGAGGCAGGAGUGGGGAAUGUUGGACAAUGGGCGAAAGCCUGAUCCAGCCAUGCCGCGUGCAGGAUGAAGGCCUUCGGGUUGUAAACUGCUUUUGUACGGAACGAAAAGCCUCUUUCUAAUAAAGAGGGUCCAUGACGGUACCGUAAGAAUAAGCACCGGCUAACUACGUGCCAGCCGCCGCGGUAA